AAUCAACGCUGGCGGCGUGCCUCAGACAUGCAAGUCGAACGCGAAAGUCCCCUUCGGGGGACAAGUAGAGUGGCGCACGGGUGAGUAACACGUGGGUAAUUUACCUUCGGGUGGGGAAUAACAGUACGGAAACGACUGCUAAUACCGCAUGAUGCAGCGGCACCACAUGGUGACAGUUGUUAAAGCGGGGGAUCGCAAGACCUCGCGCCUGAAGAGAAGCCCGCGGCAGAUUAGCUAGUUGGUAAGGUAAUGGCUUACCAAGGCAACGAUCUGUAGCCGGCCUGAGAGGGCGGUCGGCCACACUGACACUGAAUAACGGGUCAGACUCCUACGGAGGCAGCAGUCGGGAAUUUUUGGGCAAUGGGCGCAAGCCUGACCCACGCAACGCCGCGUGAAGGAUGAAGUA
Molecule: ribosomal RNA, 406 nt
Filed under: uncultured bacterium
Lineage: Bacteria
Description: bacterial SSU rRNA
Rfam family: Bacterial small subunit ribosomal RNA
Source: RNAcentral